UGGACUCUAAUCUCGAAUUGUUGUUCAACUCCAAAAUAUAAUAAAUUAUCAAUUGGCUUGUGACGCAUGGCCUAUUUGAAUGAUCUUGGUGGAGUUGCUACAAUUUGACAAUCUCAGACAUUUUGGCCAUAUCACAAUUUGAGAUAUCAACUUCAGCUAAGGUAGGUGGCAAAUAUAAAACUGGUUGCAAUUGACUGGUACAACAACCUCAUAAUUUACUGUUUACUUCACAAAACGAAGAUAAUAUUUGCGACAAUGUUUAACUAAUCCAUCACAUUACCGGGAUCAUUGGCUUUUACUUUCCAGAUACUGAUUGCCUAAGAACAGAACGCAGGAACUAGGUUUGCUUUGGAUUUUCCUCUCUUUGUUUAACAAAAAUUACAACAUUGCAUGAAAGGGAGAGUGAAAGCUUCAUUUGGAAGAAAAUAAAUAGGGGAGGCGGCUCAGGUCAGAGAUAAAGGUAUCCAGAAGCUUAUGUAUGGUCGUCCAUGUAUUAUGUAUUAUGAGAAGUUGAAAAUAAUAAUAAUAAUAAUAAUGUUGAUGAUGAUGAUUGAUGAUGACAUUAAUAAUGAUGAUAACCACCAUGACAACAAGAUGAUGAAAUGAUGAUGAGAU
This 615-nucleotide long non-coding RNA is filed under the name Phoenix dactylifera (date palm). RNAcentral describes it as "long non-coding RNA (PDAC_LNC003559)". Lineage: Eukaryota; Viridiplantae; Streptophyta; Magnoliopsida; Arecales; Arecaceae. The record is from RNAcentral.